UUUCAACCUUCGUAUCUUUUACCUAACCCUGUUCCUCGGUCUGUCUCCUACCAGUCACCCAAACGAGGAAAACUAGUAGUUAAUAGUUUUGAACUGUAAAAGUACUACUUAUAAGACUUCUAUUUGUUAGACGUACAUAAUUUCUCCUCCCCGAGCCGCCUUGUUUACCGGUUCCUCUUUUUUCAUCGAUAGCGGUGUUCGUAGUUCUAUACACCCGAAGUACGUAGUAAAUGAUAGGACGUCUUAUGUAGCGAAAAUAAUACAACUAUGCAGACUAAGCCACCUGAUCGUAUCGUUUACAUUUACACUUACACUUCCACCUAAGGUAGUUUAACAGACACGUCCAAUCACAACAGGGACUACGAAAUAUGUCUGUUGCACAAGUUUAUAGAAAGUAACCUGUCUGGAGACUGCACUAGUAUAACGAUAAAAGUAGAAAACCUAAACGUAUAUUACAACUGUGGUGUACACUUAGACUUCGGUGAACACGAUUCGUAAGGGACCAAACGGUCGAACACACAAAGUGAUUACCUCUUCCAUACUUAGACAAAGAAAUU
This 557-nucleotide ribosomal RNA is filed under the name Triticum aestivum (bread wheat). RNAcentral describes it as "partial small subunit ribosomal RNA". Lineage: Eukaryota; Viridiplantae; Streptophyta; Magnoliopsida; Poales; Poaceae. The record is from RNAcentral.